UGAAGAUAUAGUCUUAUCUUUAUCGUAAGAUAA
This 33-nucleotide non-coding RNA is filed under the name Candidatus Collierbacteria bacterium GW2011_GWC2_44_13. Lineage: Bacteria; Candidatus Collieribacteriota. The record is from RNAcentral.